Molecule: non-coding RNA, 117 nt
Filed under: Homo sapiens (human)
Lineage: Eukaryota; Metazoa; Chordata; Mammalia; Primates; Hominidae
Source: Rfam by way of RNAcentral
GCCGGGCGCGAUGGCUCACGCCUGUAAUCCCAGAACUUUGGGAGGCUGAGGCGGGUGGAUCACUUGAGGUCAGGAGUUCAAGACCAGCCUGGCCAAGAUGGUGAAACCCCGUCUCUA